RNAcentral lists this transfer RNA (67 nucleotides) under Nogodinidae sp. RNAcentral's name for it is "tRNA-Gly". Lineage: Eukaryota; Metazoa; Arthropoda; Insecta; Hemiptera; Nogodinidae. The record is from RNAcentral.
AUUCUUUUAGUAUAAAAAAGUAUAAUUAGCUUCCAACUAAAAGGUUAAAAAACAUUAAAAGAAUAAU